This 492-nucleotide ribosomal RNA is filed under the name uncultured bacterium. RNAcentral describes it as "partial 16S ribosomal RNA". It matches the Rfam family "Bacterial small subunit ribosomal RNA", at positions 29 to 507 of the family's 1533-position model. The record is from RNAcentral.
AGUGAACGCUGGCGGUAGGCCUAACACAUGCAAGUCGAACGGCAGCACAGUAAGAGCUUGCUCUUACGGGUGGCGAGUGGCGGACGGGUGAGGAAUACAUCGGAAUCUACUUUUUCGUGGGGGAUAACGUAGGGAAACUUACGCCAAUACCGCAUACGACCUACGGGUGAAAGCAGGGGAUCUUCGGACCUUGCGCGAAUGAAUGAGCCGAUGUCGGAUUAGCUAGUUGGCGGGGUAAAGGCCCACCAAGGCGACGAUCCGUAGCUGGUCUGAGAGGAUGAUCAGCGACACGGGAACUGAGACACGGUCCAGACUCCUACGGGAGGCAGCAGUGGGGAAUAUGGGACAAUGGGCGCAAGCAUGAUCCAGCCAUACCGCGUGGGUGAAGAAGGCCUUCGGGUUGUAAAGCCCUUUUGUUGGGAAAGAAAAGCAGCAGGUUAAUACCCCGCUGUUCUGACGGUACCCAAAGAAUAAGCACCGGCUAACUUCGUG